Long non-coding RNA from Silurus meridionalis, 877 nucleotides. RefSeq lists it as uncharacterized. The record is from RefSeq and is a predicted model, not a curated record. The transcript has 4 exons. NCBI's taxonomy places the organism in Eukaryota, Metazoa, Chordata, Actinopteri, Siluriformes, Siluridae.
GUUUCAGAGGUCAAGCCAAACAGCAGAUCCACAGGCAACCUUGGGGAUCUUCCAAACAGUAAGAUCAGCUGUGUUUGGGUGCUCGUCUUUCUACGGAAGAUGCCAUCAUCUCCCAAGAAAAGUUUGUCCCAGCUGCGCAGUAAACAUUUACUUUGUGCACUCAAGGUCUUCAAUAGAUGUCCUGUUGGCUUAUUGUCAGACAACUUAAACUGUAAAACGGGUCCAAUGUGGUCAUCAUUUCGUUGUGCUUGUCUGAUCUCAUCCACGGGCAAUGGCUCACAUAUGUGCUCCGAUGUCUGGGUGUCAUCAAAAGAAAUCAUGGCAGCCCAGGAAAGGUUGGAAUGCGGUGCCUCUACUACUUGGAUGGUCGCUUCGACACAGUCAGAUGGUUUGUCACAGCAGCUGUAUCGGCCGGAUCCAUCUUACUCCCUUCAGCAGACACAAUCCUCCCAAGGUGUUGCUGAAAACUAACGUGUCAUCCAGAUAGGGAACACAGAUGUUAUCUCUUAGCUCAUCCAGACACUCCUCCAUGCAGCGCUGAAAAGCCGAAGGAGCAUUCAUCAGGCCAAAAGGUAUCCGGAUCCACUCAUAUAAGCCCCACGGAGUCACAAAGGCUGUUAAGGGUCGACUCUCCUUGGCCAUGAAUCCCUGAUGAUAUGCUUUUCCUUGGUCAAGAAGGGAAAACCAGGAGUUCCCUCCCAAACUGUCCAUUAUGUCUUGUACACGGGGAAUGGGUUGUCGAUCAGGAUGAGUUUUACGAUUUAACUGCCUGUAAUCAAUGCACAAACGUAAGCUGCCAUCUUUUUUUCUAACGCAUACAACAGGUGAGGCAUAUGGCGAGUUUGAUUUCUGUACCCAUCCUUGUGCAAUGAGAUCU